This is an RNA transcript of Cryptomeria japonica (Japanese cedar), 1653 nucleotides long. It is a transcript of the gene named potassium channel KAT3, with no coding region annotated. The transcript has 7 exons. Lineage: Eukaryota; Viridiplantae; Streptophyta; Pinopsida; Cupressales; Cupressaceae. The record is from RefSeq and is a predicted model, not a curated record.
UAGUUCCUGCCUGCAGGAAACUAUAGCGGAGGAGUUGAAACUAACUAGUGAUUAAACUAAGCUGCAACAAUCAAUCAGGAACAAUCUUUUUUAAAUAUUUCCUUUCCAUAUGCUAUUUCUAUUAGUGAAGUUGCAUAUUUUUUAUGAGCAUUUUAAAUAGAAAAUGUUUUGGCCGCCUAUGAUUGGCAUUGCAGAGGAGUGACAGACUUUUCCAGAGAUGUUCACAGUUUUCUAUACGAGAGAACGCAUGACUACCAAAGGGAGGGUGAGAAAAUAGAAGUCUUGGGGUAUUCAUUUCUGGACAUGGCACUGCAUAUUCUGCCAUCGCUGAUGCUGCCCCAGACCCCGUUGCCAUUACCGUCCACCUGUCUCUGCAUUGCAUUCAAAACCGCUUAUAUUUUUCUGGGUUAAUAGUCAUCAUAACAGACACUAGAUUUAUAUGGUCGAGAAGGAGAUGGAUGGAUUGCAGUCUCUGCAACUUUGUAUAGAGGCUCUGAUGCCCUCGGUAGCAUGGAAAUAGGAGGAGAAGAAUCAAAGUGACUGCUAUGAGAAUUUUGGGCCUGCUGAACAAGCCACACAUUAGGACAAUUUCUUUGGGGGCUUGGUUAUGAAAUCCGUGGUCAUAUGGAGUAGCCUGGCUAUGUAAAAGAUACAUAAAGUAAGUAUAAUAACUGCAACUGCAUCAUUUUAGCAAUUGGUAAUAAAAUGGCUCAGAUCAAGGAAGGGAAAUUUAAAAAACAAAUUAGGCUUGUAGGUCUUUAAACUGAUUCAUUUCUCUAUACAGGGCAAUGACCCUAACUAUUCCCGUUUUUACAUUAGUAAGCAAUGUUUACCCUAAAUUUUAUGUAUGUUUUGUUUUCUGUUAAACCUUUCUUUCCUUACCAGAAUGGAUAAAGCUGCAAAUGAUGGCACAGCUGCGGCUCAACUUCAAGACGAGAACUUCAGCAGGACACUUUGGCAGGCCUACCUAAAGCCCUCCGUUCUAACAUCUAUCACCAUCUCUUUCUACCAACCGUUGAAAACACUUACAUAUUCAAAGGAGUUUCAAGAAAUAUGCUUUUGCAAUUUGUUGCAGAGAUGAAAGGAGAAUACUUUCCACAAAAUGCAGAUAUCAUUUUAAAGAACCAAAUUCCUGGGGAUUUUUACAUAAUUAUUUCUGGAACAGUGAAUAUAUUCACACAUGCAAAUGGAAGCGAACAGUUUCUAGAAAAAGAAGGAACUCCAAAUUUGAUUGGGGAGAUUGCUGUACUUUUGGAUAUCCCACAACCUUUUACACUAAGAACUACCAAACUUAGCCAGCUUCUUCGAUUGGGUCCCUAAUGAUCCAAAUUGUUUAAUAUCUAAUCUUUGGAAAGUAGUCUUGGAGUUCCCAUAUAUUAACUUUAAAACUCAUCCAGAUCAUUGAAAAAAAGAUUAUGAUAUCUCCUGACAGUCUUAAAAGCUGCACAGAAUCAUUCAAAUGAAAUAAUGUUAAGAUUAAAUCAUUUGCACAAAUCAAAAUUUAAAAUGUGUUGUUAAACCCACCAUAUAUUUUGUACGGUUUAACUCAAUGCAUCACUAUAUAUGUUAAUAUGUUUACGAUUUCUAUGAUUUGUCUUACCACUAUAGACCUUAAUAUGUUUAUGAUUUCAAUGGUUUUUCUUGUGAAUAGGU